ACAAAUAUUUUAAGAUCAUGAAGCUGAAGAAAAACCCAUGUUGUUAGCUUAAACUCUGCCUCUAGCCCUAACUGCAAAUACCCGAGCCUCUCCCCUCUCCCCACCACUUCUCUGCCCUUGUGAUGGUGGUGACCAUGUUAGUCUAAAGUCCUCCAUUGGAAACCAGGUUUUGGGAAGAAAGAUGGAUGGUUCUUUCAGUGCCUUGAGAUGAAACAAGCUAGAAACAGACAGUUCCUGACAAAACUCCCACGGGGGCAAUUUCUGUUCUCAUUGCUGUCUGUUUUAUUUUUUUCACCUUGGAGAUAUGACUGGGGAAAUAAAAAACCAGACAGAUUUGAUGCCAUUGCAAGGGAUGACUGUACACCUUAAAGUGAGGCCUAUCCUCACAUGCUGUUUGGUGUAUAUUGUUAUUUUGCCUCAUUAAUACUCUACAGUGCUGUAGAUUGCAGACCACAAUGGGACAGUGUGUGAGUAAUCUUGAAAGCCAAAGGUAUUCCUGCAGAAGUGGAUAUCUACCUUAUAUGUAUCUGCGUAUGUGCAUGAUCUUCCAGUAACUGUAAGCCAAAGCCCAAAUAUUUCAAUGACUUCAGUUCUGUAUCAUGACAUUCCUUUACAAGAUUUACAGGAUUAUCCCAGUUUACUGGUUAAUUAUUGUGGUAUUUCAGUACUAAUCCUGCUAUAACUAUUUCUGGAACAUUGGAGUAGUCCUGCUCUUGGAAUCACUGAGCGUAUAAUUAAUUCUAUGGUGUGGUAAGUAUGUUUUAAUUACUGUGUACUAUACUGCACCCAAGAAAAAGACAAGUGUUUUGAAAUGUAGCAUGUGUAGAGAAUGUAAAAAUGUUAUUAAUCAUGUUUUCUUCAUGUGCUAAACUGCAUGUUUUGUAUACUGAAUUCUAUACUCUAAGUAUAAAGGCAUGCAAGCAAAACAGAUGCUGAUUUCUGUGUCUACAGCCUGAUCUAUCCCCUGACGGCAUGAAGAAAAGGUUAGUUUUCAAUGUUACUUUGUUGUAGCACUGGUCUGAGUUUUACAUUCCACCCAUCUUAAAGGAGAAAGACUGGAUGCCACAGUGGGGUGCAUACCCUUGAUUACCUGCUCCCUUACCAUCUUUUGUUAGCUUUGUCUCCAUGACUCCAGAUGCAAUACCAGAACACAAGGCCAGAGCUCUUUUCUGUAUGAUGUUGUAUGAUACCCACCAUUUAUCACUAUAAAUUCACUGUUUUCUGAGUAAAAAAUUAAAUGUUUAACUUCACCUAUCUUUUUAUUUCCCUUAGGAGUUUGCCUUUAAGUAUUCUACACAUUAUACUUUAUAGACAUGACCUGUUUCAAAGUUGUUGUCUUAACACAAGCUUGACCUAGUAGCUUCUGUUGCCCUGCUGCCCAGGGAAUUCUGAGUGCCAUACUGAUACUAAUUUUUUUUUUUCUUCCUCUUAGAUAUCCUGGAAUAUCCUAGGAGAAAAAGCUUUUGUAUUUUCCAGUCUUAUCACACCAGUACAGUGUCACAGCUGAAGUGCAGCUGUAUCUUCUGAGUGGCAGCAGCCCCAUGUUGGUGUGGGGACUGCUGGAAAACCCAAGCCCCCUUUUAGGAAUGUUGUUGUUUGACAAUGCUAUCAUAUUGCCUUGGGGCCUUGUUAUGCAUCUCUGCUGGCCCAGCUGGCUGCAAAAUUACUUCCAAGGAUACCAGGUUGUAUGAUGAUAGAAAGCUGCUCUUGGACCUCCCCUCUCAUGAAUUUACUGGGCCUUGUCCUGGAGGAUCUUUGCUAAUUGAAGAUUUUGAUUAGUGGUCUGUAGUAUUGCAAAUGUUGUGUAUCUCCCAUUGAAACAGAUUCUUUGUUUUGGAUCUUAUGUGUGAGUUAAGGGCAGGAUUUGGAAGGUUCCUUCUUUGGGGCAAUUGCUGAUCCUCUACAAGUGAAAUUGUCCCAGGGUGUGUGGACAUUUGAGAUGUGGUCUGGAGUCCUCACAGUGGUGUUUCUAAGCAUGAAACCAAGGAUUUGUUUCAUGUGCCUGCAAAGCAGCACAAAGGCUGAGGAUGGUGUGAAGAUUUCCUGCAAGAAGCUUCUCUGAGCUACGUAGCUAUGGUCCAGGAGGAAAAAGAGCCUUGCAAGAAUAAAGUAAUGGAUGAGAUACUUAAUUCUAUUUCUG
This is a long non-coding RNA of Parus major (Great Tit), 2140 nucleotides long. RefSeq lists it as uncharacterized. NCBI's taxonomy places the organism in Eukaryota, Metazoa, Chordata, Aves, Passeriformes, Paridae. The record is from RefSeq and is a predicted model, not a curated record. The transcript is spliced from 3 exons.